CAACAUAUUGUUAUCAGUCCAAACUACGGGCUGUAGAUCAUAGUAUGUUGAUCAUUAUGCUAAAUGCUAAAUAUACUAUAGAUCGUCGGCUUCUGUGACCUGUUCAGCGGAACUUGAAUAGUACCCACCGAAAGUAAUCUAUAAUACUUAAUCUUGGCCAUAAAUCUUGUUGCCUACAAUAUUAUUAUUUUAAUAUAACACAUUUACACCAACAAUAAUGAAAAACGUAGGCAAAAUGGAUUAUACUCUGUAGUAAGUACCUACAUUAAGUGUUCAAUGAGUCACUGUUAUAGGUGUGUCAACAUUUGGAUUCAAUGUUCCAUCAUUGUAUACGAAAAACGAUUUUAAGCGAAUACGACCUGUCAGAAUAUCAGCCUAAUCACUAAUGUUGCAGUAGAUUGAUACAAUUUGUACCGAAAAUAUUGCAUUUAUUUUAUUGUUAUUAUUUAAUUAUUAUUUAUAUCUUUUAUGUGUUUAUACUAUAUAACAUAUUAUAUUAACUUACAUAACUCAAAGUUCGAUAACAUCUUUCGCCACAUAAUAUCAAUAAAAUUGACACCGGUCGUUAUUUCCAAAAAGUCUAUGUGAAAACCGCGAAAAUAAAACAGUGAAAACACUAAUAGCGAAAAGUAAGAAAACCUAUACGUAUAUACUUACAGAUAAUCGGAGGAAUUUAACGUUUGAACACAUUAAGGAACUUCUGAUCAUCCAAUGCAAUAAGAUUGAAGAUGCAGAAUGUUAAAUGGCAACGAAGACGACAAAAUACUUUAUAAGCUUUUUUUAUACUUUUUUAAUACCAUAUUAAUUAAUAAAUAUUGUUACA
Long non-coding RNA from Melanaphis sacchari, 823 nucleotides. RefSeq lists it as uncharacterized. The record is from RefSeq and is a predicted model, not a curated record. The transcript has 4 exons. NCBI's taxonomy places the organism in Eukaryota, Metazoa, Arthropoda, Insecta, Hemiptera, Aphididae.